Molecule: non-coding RNA, 86 nt
Organism: Dentipellis sp. KUC8613
Lineage: Eukaryota; Fungi; Basidiomycota; Agaricomycetes; Russulales; Hericiaceae
Source: the annotation of a GenBank genome assembly
UCGGAUAUGGUGUAAUGGCUAACAUUAUCGCCUCUCAAGUUUCUGAGUGAUCGCGAUAGCUCGGGGUUCGAUUCCCCGUAUCCGAA